UUGAACGCUGGCGGCAGGCUUAACACAUGCAAGUCGAGCGGUAGCACARGGGAGCUUGCUCCCUGGGUGACGAGCGGCGGACGGGUGAGUAAUGUCUGGGAAACUGCCUGAUGGAGGGGGAUAACUACUGGAAACGGUAGCUAAUACCGCAUAACGUCGCAAGACCAAAGAGGGGGACCUUCGGGCCUCUUGCCAUCAGAUGUGCCCAGAUGGGAUUAGCUAGUAGGUGGGGUAAUGGCUCACCUAGGCGACGAUCCCUAGCUGGUCUGAGAGGAUGACCAGCCACACUGGAACUGAGACACGGUCCAGACUCCUACGGGAGGCAGCAGUGGGGAAUAUUGCACAAUGGGCGCAAGCCUGAUGCAGCCAUGCCGCGUGUGUGAAGAAGGCCUUCGGGUUGUAAAGCACUUUCAGCGAGGAGGAAGGUGGUGAGCUUAAUACGYUCAUCAAUUGACGUUACUCGCARAARAAGCACCGGCUAACUCC
This 486-nucleotide ribosomal RNA is filed under the name Serratia marcescens. Its description in RNAcentral is "bacterial SSU rRNA". It matches the Rfam family "Bacterial small subunit ribosomal RNA", at positions 30 to 504 of the family's 1533-position model. Lineage: Bacteria; Pseudomonadati; Pseudomonadota; Gammaproteobacteria; Enterobacterales; Yersiniaceae. The record is from RNAcentral.